RNAcentral lists this ribosomal RNA (454 nucleotides) under uncultured Methanomicrobiales archaeon. RNAcentral's name for it is "bacterial SSU rRNA". It matches the Rfam family "Archaeal small subunit ribosomal RNA", at positions 885 to 1338 of the family's 1478-position model. Lineage: Archaea; Methanobacteriati; Methanobacteriota; Methanomicrobia; Methanomicrobiales. The record is from RNAcentral.
CAGGUGGAGCCUGCGGUUUAAUCGGACUCAACGCCGGGAAACUCACCAGAUAAGACAGCUGAAUGAUAGUCGGGCUGAAGACUCUACUUGACUAGCUGAGAGGAGGUGCAUGGCCGUCGUCAGUUCGUACUGUGAAGCAUCCUGUUAAGUCAGGCAACGAGCGAGACCCACGCCAACAGUUGCCAGCUCGUCCUCCGGGAUGGUGGGGACACUGUUGGGACCGCCUCUGCUAAAGAGGAGGAAGGAAUGGGCAACGGUAGGUCAGCAUGCCCCGAAUUAUCUGGGCUACACGCGGGCUACAAUGGGUGGGACAAUGGGUAUCGACACCGAAAGGUGAAGGCAAUCUCCUAAACCCAUCCGUAGUUCGGAUUGUGGGCUGCAACUCGCCCACAUGAAGCUGGAAUCUGUAGUAAUCGUGUCUCAAAAUGGCACGGUGAAUAUGUCCCUGCUCCUU